RNAcentral lists this ribosomal RNA (207 nucleotides) under uncultured fungus. RNAcentral describes it as "partial 18S ribosomal RNA". It matches the Rfam family "Eukaryotic small subunit ribosomal RNA", at positions 693 to 887 of the family's 1831-position model. Lineage: Eukaryota; Fungi. The record is from RNAcentral.
CUGGUGUGAUGGGUUCUUACCUUCUGAAUAACCAGCAUGCCAUUCAUUUGGUGCGCUGGGGAAGCAGGACUAUUACCUUGAAAAAAUUAGAGUGCUCAAAGCAGGCUAGUGCCUGAAUACAUUAGCAUGGAAUAAUAAAAUAGGACGGCAUGGUUCUAUUUUGUUGGUUUCUAGGAUCACCGUAAUGAUUAAUAGGGAUAGUUGGGA